Austrofundulus limnaeus is the source of this 1210-nucleotide long non-coding RNA. RefSeq lists it as uncharacterized. The transcript has 3 exons. The record is from RefSeq and is a predicted model, not a curated record. NCBI's taxonomy places the organism in Eukaryota, Metazoa, Chordata, Actinopteri, Cyprinodontiformes, Rivulidae.
AGGAGGAGAACGUAGAAGGUGAGUAUUGGUUCUUGGAAGAGUAAUUUGUUGUAGAUUUUCUCUUGUUAAUAAGUGAUUCUUUCUUACAGAUUUUCCAGAGGCGAAGAGUUCCAGAGGAGGAGGUUUUCAAAGGCAGGUGGCAGUUCUUCAGGCAGAGUGGCUGUGAGGGUUCCGUGGUGAGGUUCUUUGUUUUCUGACCCAACUUGGAGUGAGGACUUCUCAGCAUGAGGUGUGGGUUCUGUGAUCUUGGUAAUCCACCUGUAAUAACCUGAGUAUUUAAGGAAAUACUUGUGUUUAUUAUUUGUUCAAAGAGUACACUGAAAAAAAAUACUUAAGUUUUGUUAAAGUAACUGGUAAACCACGGUAAUUAUUUUUCUCUUUACAAACCAGAGUUGUUGGGAAAAAAAUCUUAACCACUAACACCAGCGAGAGUCAUAUUUAACCUAGACACUGUUUUUUUAUACAUUGAAAUGUCUUUUUUACCACAUUUCUUAUCAAAGUGAAAUAGAGAGAGCUGACUGCUGAGUAAUCACUCCCUCAAUAUAGCGAGCCAGGUGGUAAAAGGGUUACACACCAUAAAGGUAAGAUGCAUCAGCGUGAAUCAACUGAAGGAGGAGGCUUAUAAAGCUGCAGCUUAUCAUUAAACAAAUCCCCAACAGGUGUGUGUAAUCAGGGUCAGAUCACCAAUCACCACACAGGAACACAGGUAGAACUGAUUCUUCACAGCUGGAACCAGUUUGGCUGAACUUCUCAGACACAAGCAAGCUUCACCUGCUCUCCUGCUGAGAGACAGCAGUCUGCAGCCGACUCCUGCAUCACUGACAUGUCCACGACAAACAUGUUCCAGCUCUAAUGACAGGGAAAAUAAAUCCACCUCAAAUGAUUUGGUGUUUCUAAAGAUCCAAAGUGAAGCUUCUGUGGUCCUGUGGUUUACAGCUGCAUCAGGACUCCUGAACAUCAUCUGAUGGUUCACACAUUUAUAAAUUAAAUGAAGCUGGCAGCAAGCUGUGAUCCUACAAUCAUCUGAAAACUGACGUGGUUCAGUUUGAGAUGACUGCUGACCUGCUGCAGUAAGAUCACUGGACAGAGUUCUGACCCAGAGCCGGAGCAGCAGAGAGGGGCUGAGCACAGGUCCACGUCUCCCUCUGAAGCAUCCAGCCUGUGAACAUCCAGGACCUGAUGAGACCAGGUCUGUGGGACCUGAGGAGAC